CUACCAUUCUCAUCCUUUGGCUAAGAUCAAGUGUAGUAUCCAAAACGUGGGACAAUGUCCCACAAUAAUAUUAGAUUUAUUUUUUAAAGUGGAAAGUUCCAUAGUCCAUAACAGCUUGCUUUUGGGAACUUGUGUAGCCUGUGCGUUGCACUAUAAGUGUAGUAUCCAAU
Beta vulgaris subsp. vulgaris (sugar beet) is the source of this 170-nucleotide non-coding RNA. Lineage: Eukaryota; Viridiplantae; Streptophyta; Magnoliopsida; Caryophyllales; Amaranthaceae. The record is from Rfam.